GAGUUUGAUCGUGGCUCAGGACGAACGCUGGCGGCGUGCUUAACACAUGCAAGUCGAGCGAUGAAGUUUCCUUCGGGAAACGGAUUAGCGGCGGACGGGUGAGUAACACGUGGGUAACCUGCCUCAUAGAGGGGAAUAGCCUUUCGAAAGGAAGAUUAAUACCGCAUAAGAUUGUAAUGCCGCAUGGCAUAGCAAUUAAAGGAGCAAUCCGCUAUGAGAUGGACCCGCGUCGCAUUAGCUAGUUCGGUGAGGUAACGGCUCACCAAGGCGACGAUGCGUAGCCGACCUGAGA
RNAcentral lists this ribosomal RNA (292 nucleotides) under uncultured bacterium. RNAcentral describes it as "partial 16S ribosomal RNA". It matches the Rfam family "Bacterial small subunit ribosomal RNA", at positions 9 to 297 of the family's 1533-position model. The record is from RNAcentral.